This 440-nucleotide ribosomal RNA is filed under the name uncultured bacterium. Its description in RNAcentral is "partial 16S ribosomal RNA". It matches the Rfam family "Bacterial small subunit ribosomal RNA", at positions 338 to 795 of the family's 1533-position model. The record is from RNAcentral.
CCUACGGGAGGCAGCAGUGGGGAAUCUUGCACAAUGGGGGAAACCCUGAUGCAGCGACGCCGCGUGAGUGAAGAAGUAUUUCGGUACGUAAAGCUCUAUCAGCAGGGAAGAAAAUGACGGUGCCUGAUUAAGAAGCCCCGGAUAACUACGAGCCAGCAGCCGCGGUAAUACGUAGGUGGCAAGCGUUAUCCGGAUUUACUGGGUGAAAAGGGAGCGUAGAUGGGAGCGCAAGUCUGAAGUGAAAUGCCGGGGCUUAACCCCGGAACUGCUUUGGAAACUGGGCAGCUAGAGUGCAGGAGAGGUAAGUGGAAUUCCGAGUGUAGCGGUGAAAUGCGUAGAUAUUAGGAGGAACACCAGUGGCGAAGGCGGCUUACUGGACUGUAACUGACGUUGAGGCUCGAAAGCGUGGGGAGCAAACAGGAUUAGAUACCCUUGUAGUC